UAUUUUGGGGAGGGCCAGUCAACCUUACUGACUAAUGAAGUUAUUCUAACAGGUGCUGCAAAUAUCAAAAGUUGGUGGAAAGACCACCAAGGACUGUGUCCACAAAGCCCUUGACAGACUCUUCUCUAAUGCCGUAAUGGCAUCUUUUAAUAUGAAGGGGAGGGGGCAAAACGGCAAGAGGCCUUUCGGAAACACAAAAAUAUACAGAGCACUACAAGAUGGAGUUAUGAAGUUCGACCAAAAUGCUACGGAGGACUCCAUUAGAACUUUCACCUCAGAACACCUUAAACACGCACCACAAAGAAGUGGAGGGUUCACUGCUCCACAUAGUCACUGAUCAUGUA
Molecule: long non-coding RNA, 344 nt
Organism: Rhinichthys klamathensis goyatoka
Lineage: Eukaryota; Metazoa; Chordata; Actinopteri; Cypriniformes; Leuciscidae
Exons: 3
Source: RefSeq, a predicted model, not a curated record